RNA transcript from Impatiens glandulifera, 1036 nucleotides. RefSeq lists it as uncharacterized. NCBI's taxonomy places the organism in Eukaryota, Viridiplantae, Streptophyta, Magnoliopsida, Ericales, Balsaminaceae. The record is from RefSeq and is a predicted model, not a curated record. The transcript is spliced from 3 exons.
CCCAAUCCAUCUUUUUAGCAGCUGAGAAGAGAGAGAGAGAGAAAGAGAGAGGAGAGAGAGAGCUGUGGAAUCGCUCUUUUUGUUUGUUUGCUUCUUCUGUGUGACUGGGACCAGAGAACUCUUCUUAUUGGUGAACUUUCAAAAGGGGAAGACCUAGCAGUGUUGAUGAUGUUUCACUUUGCACUGUAUAUAAAUUGAGCCGAUGACAGAUGGCUAGAUGAUCGGUUCUUGAUGAUGAACUGGUUGGGAAUUCCAGGAAUGCGACAGCCUAUUCAGCUAGAUGAUGAUAGCCUCAUGCAUAGUCCACAUCAAAUCGGCCUAUCCAUGCACAUACUUUGGUUUGUAGACCUUGGGACCAGAUAACUCUUCUUAUUGGUGAACUUAGCAGUGUUGCUGAUGUUUCACUUUGCACUGCAUAUUAAUUGAGCUGAUGACAGAUGUCUAGAUGAUCGGUUCUUGAUGAUGAACUGGCUGAGAAUUCCAGGAAUUCUACACUUGGUUGGUGGUUGCUGCAGCCUAUUCAGCUAGAUGAUAUGAUAAGCCUCAUUCACAGUCCACAUCAAUUGGCCUAUCCAUACAACAUACAUUUGGUUUGACCAAGAAGAACAAGGGGAUUUCAAUAGUCUAUCAUGGAUAUAUAUUGUUGGUUGGAUUAGGUUAAAGUCUUGAGCCUGAUUUCUUCAUUCUGUAAGAAACUUGACCCUAUUUAUGACUUCAAGUUGUUGGUUCAUUAGUGAUUUACCCUAGACCUUGGUCUAGGAGGUUAGGCCCCAUCCCCCACUAUCUUUUGGUCUUGUUCAAUUGUCAUAAUAUACUAUUAUCCCAUUAUAUAUAUAUGUGUUAUACAAUGUCCCCAAGAUAGAAUUUUCAAGAUUCUAUGUAAUAAAAACAGUUCACUCUUUUCCAUAUAUGUCAUGGAUCAUCUCUUUUAUUUAUAUACUUAAGAAACAAUUGCACUGUUGUUGAUGUGUAAAUAGUAAAAUUAGGCCUUUCAUUAUUAGAAUAAGUCGGGUGAGAUAUUUAAGAGGUUUUGAUU